Molecule: ribosomal RNA, 492 nt
Filed under: uncultured bacterium
Lineage: Bacteria
Description: partial 16S ribosomal RNA
Rfam family: Bacterial small subunit ribosomal RNA
Source: RNAcentral
AGUGAACGCUGGCGGUAGGCCUAACACAUGCAAGUCGAACGGCAGCACAGUAAGAGCUUGCUCUUACGGGUGGCGAGUGGCGGACGGGUGAGGAAUACAUCGGAAUCUACUUUUUCGUGGGGGAUAACGUAGGGAAACUUACGCUAAUACCGCAUACGACCUACGGGUGAAAGCAGGGGAUCUUCUGACCUUGCGCGAUUGAAUGAGCCGAUGUCGGAUUAGCUAGUUGGCGGGGUAAAGGCCCACCAAGGCGACGAUCCGUAGCUGGUCUGAGAGGAUGAUCAGCCACACUGGAACUGAGACACGGUCCAGACUCCUACGGGAGGCAGCAGUGGGGAAUAUUGGACAAUGGGCGCAAGCCUGAUCCAGCCAUACCGCGUGGGUGAAGAAGGCGUUCGGGUUGUAAAGCCCUUUUGUUGGGAAAGAAAAGCAGCAGGUUAAUACCCCGCUGUUCUGACGGUACCCAAAGAAUAAGCACCGGCUAACUUCGUG